RNAcentral lists this ribosomal RNA (301 nucleotides) under uncultured bacterium. RNAcentral describes it as "partial 16S ribosomal RNA". It matches the Rfam family "Bacterial small subunit ribosomal RNA", at positions 509 to 807 of the family's 1533-position model. The record is from RNAcentral.
CAGCAGCCGCGGUAAUGCGAAGGGGGCUAGCGUUGUUCGGAAUCACUGGGCGUAAAGAGCACGUAGGCGGAUCUUUAAGUCAGAGGUGAAAUCCCGAGGCUCAACCUCGGGACUGCCUUUGAUACUGGGGAUCUCGAGUCCGGGAGAGGUGAGUGGAACUGCGAGUGUAGAGGUGAAAUUCGUAGAUAUUCGCAAGAACACCAGUGGCGAAGGCGGCUCACUGGCCCGGAACUGACGCUGAGGUGCGAAAGCGUGGGGAGCAAACAGGAUUAGAUACCCGGGUAGUCCCUGUCUCUUAUAC